UACCAGCCCCCCGAGUGGUCGGGACGAUUAUUGGGCCUAAAGCAUCCGUAGCCGGUUCUGCAAGUCCCCCGUUAAAUCCAGCUGCUCAACAGAUGGGCCGCGGAGGAUACUCCAGAGCUAGGAGGCAGGAGAGGCAAGCGGUACUCAGUGGGUAGGGGUAAAAUCCGUUGAUCCAUUGAAGACCACCAGUGGCGAAGGCGGCUUGCCAGAAUGCGCUCGACGGUGAGGGAUGAAAGCUGGGGGAGCAAACCGG
Molecule: ribosomal RNA, 253 nt
Filed under: uncultured bacterium
Lineage: Bacteria
Description: partial 16S ribosomal RNA
Rfam family: Archaeal small subunit ribosomal RNA
Source: RNAcentral